RNAcentral lists this ribosomal RNA (692 nucleotides) under Stenotrophomonas sp. INBio2556W. RNAcentral's name for it is "bacterial SSU rRNA". It matches the Rfam family "Bacterial small subunit ribosomal RNA", at positions 56 to 737 of the family's 1533-position model. Lineage: Bacteria; Pseudomonadati; Pseudomonadota; Gammaproteobacteria; Lysobacterales; Lysobacteraceae. The record is from RNAcentral.
UGCAGUCGAACGGCAGCACAGAGGAGCUUGCUCCUUGGGUGGCGAGUGCGCGGACGGGUGAGGAAUACAUCGGAAUCUACUCUGUCGUGGGGGAUAACGUAGGGAAACUUACGCUAAUACCGCAUACGACCUACGGGUGAAAGCAGGGGAUCUUCGGACCUUGCGCGAUUGAAUGAGCCGAUGUCGGAUUAGCUAGUUGGCGGGGUAAAGGCCCACCAAGGCGACGAUCCGUAGCUGGUCUGAGAGGAUGAUCAGCCACACUGGAACUGAGACACGGUCCAGACUCCUACGGGAGGCAGCAGUGGGGAAUAUUGGACAAUGGGCGCAAGCCUGAUCCAGCCAUACCGCGUGGGUGAAGAAGGCCUUCGGGUUGUAAAGCCCUUUUGUUGGGAAAGAAAUCCAGCCGGCUAAUACCUGGUUGGGAUGACGGUACCCAAAGAAUAAGCACCGGCUAACUUCGUGCCAGCAGCCGCGGUAAUACGAAGGGUGCAAGCGUUACUCGGAAUUACUGGGCGUAAAGCGUGCGUAGGUGGUCGUUUAAGUCCGUUGUGAAAGCCCUGGGCUCAACCUGGGAACUGCAGUGGAUACUGGACGACUAGAGUGUGGUAGAGGGUAGCGGAAUUCCUGGUGUAGCAGUGAAAUGCGUAGAGAUCAGGAGGAACAUCCAUGGCGAAGGCAGCUACCUGGACCAA